UCUCCGUUGGUGAACCAGCGGAGGGAUCAUUACCGAGUUCUCGCAACUCCCAACCCUUGCCAACCGUACCCCAGUCUGUUCUCGUUGCUUUUGGCGGGCCGCCCUCGGCUACCGGCCCCGGCUGGUACGCGCCCGCCAGAGGACCCCAAACCCUGUACGUCAGUGUCGUCUGAGUACUAUACAAUAGUUAAAACUUUCAACAACGGAUCUCUUGGUUCUG
Molecule: unclassified non-coding RNA, 220 nt
Filed under: plant metagenome
Description: partial contains small subunit ribosomal RNA, internal transcribed spacer 1, and 5.8S ribosomal RNA
Source: RNAcentral